This 460-nucleotide ribosomal RNA is filed under the name uncultured bacterium. RNAcentral describes it as "SSU rRNA". It matches the Rfam family "Bacterial small subunit ribosomal RNA", at positions 26 to 518 of the family's 1533-position model. The record is from RNAcentral.
AGAGCGAACGCUGGCGGCAGGCCUAAUACAUGCAAGUCGAACGGAUCCUUCGGGAUUAGUGGCGGACGGGUGAGUAACACGUGGGAACGUGCCCGUUGGUUCGGAACAACUCAGGGAAACUUGAGCUAAUACCGAAUGUGCCCCCAUCCUUAAACAAGAUGGGUGGGAAAGAUUUAUCGCCAUUGGAGCGGCCCGCGUCUGAUUAGCUAGUUGGUGAGGUAAAGGCCCACCAAGGCUACGAUCAGUAGCUGGUCUGAGAGGAUGAUCAGCCACACUGGGACUGAGACACGGCCCAGACUCCUACGGGAGGCAGCAGUAGGGAAUCUUGCGCAAUGGGCGAAAGCCUGACGCAGCCAUGCCGCGUGAAUGAUGAAGGUCUUAGGAUUGUAAAAUUCUUUCAGCGGGGACGAUAAUGACGGUACCGCAGAAGAAGCCCGGCUAACUUCGCGCCAGCAGCCGC